This 459-nucleotide ribosomal RNA is filed under the name uncultured Chloroflexota bacterium. RNAcentral describes it as "bacterial SSU rRNA". It matches the Rfam family "Bacterial small subunit ribosomal RNA", at positions 920 to 1382 of the family's 1533-position model. The record is from RNAcentral. Lineage: Bacteria; Bacillati; Chloroflexota.
CCCGCACAAGCAGCGGAGCGUGUGGUUUAAUUCGAUGCAACGCGAAGAACCUUACCAGGGUUUGACAUGCUUAAAGUAGGAACUCGAAAGAGGGACGACCUGUAUCCAGUCAGGAGUUUUGCACAGGUGCUGCAUGGCUGUCGUCAGCUCGUGCCGUGAGGUGUUAGGUUAAGUCCUGCAACGAGCGCAACCCUCGUCGCUAGUUGUUUUCUCUAGCGAUACUGCCCGUAUAACGUGGAGGAAGGUGGGGAUGACGUCAAGUCAGCAUGGCCCUUACAUCCUGGGCUACACACACGCUACAAUGGGUGAUACAACAGGUUGCAAUAGAGUAAUCUGGAGCUAAUCCCUAAAAUCAUCCUCAGUACGGAUUGCAGGCUGAAACCUGCCUGCAUGAAGUUGGAGUUGCCUUAGUAAACGCACGGUCAGCAACAACUGCGUUGAAUACGUUCGUCGGGCCUU